This 1213-nucleotide ribosomal RNA is filed under the name Chryseobacterium indologenes. RNAcentral describes it as "bacterial SSU rRNA". It matches the Rfam family "Bacterial small subunit ribosomal RNA", at positions 94 to 1315 of the family's 1533-position model. The record is from RNAcentral. Lineage: Bacteria; Pseudomonadati; Bacteroidota; Flavobacteriia; Flavobacteriales; Weeksellaceae.
AGCGGCGUACGGGUGCGGAACACGUGUGCAACCUGCCUUUAUCUGGGGGAUAGCCUUUCGAAAGGAAGAUUAAUACCCCAUAAUAUGUUGGAUGGCAUCAUUCGACAUUGAAAACUCCGGUGGAUAGAGAUGGGCACGCGCAAGAUUAGAUAGUUGGUGAGGUAACGGCUCACCAAGUCUGCGAUCUUUAGGGGGCCUGAGAGGGUGAUCCCCCACACUGGUACUGAGACACGGACCAGACUCCUACGGGAGGCAGCAGUGAGGAAUAUUGGACAAUGGGUGAGAGCCUGAUCCAGCCAUCCCGCGUGAAGGACGACGGCCCUAUGGGUUGUAAACUUCUUUUGUAUAGGGAUAAACCUACUCUCGUGAGAGUAGCUGAAGGUACUAUACGAAUAAGCACCGGCUAACUCCGUGCCAGCAGCCGCGGUAAUACGGAGGGUGCAAGCGUUAUCCGGAUUUAUUGGGUUUAAAGGGUCCGUAGGCGGAUCUGUAAGUCAGUGGUGAAAUCUCACAGCUUAACUGUGAAACUGCCAUUGAUACUGCAGGUCUUGAGUGUUGUUGAAGUAGCUGGAAUAAGUAGUGUAGCGGUGAAAUGCAUAGAUAUUACUUAGAACACCAAUUGCGAAGGCAGGUUACUAAGCAACAACUGACGCUGAUGGACGAAAGCGUGGGGAGCGAACAGGAUUAGAUACCCUGGUAGUCCACGCCGUAAACGAUGCUAACUCGUUUUUGGGCUUUCGGGUUCAGAGACUAAGCGAAAGUGAUAAGUUAGCCACCUGGGGAGUACGAACGCAAGUUUGAAACUCAAAGGAAUUGACGGGGGCCCGCACAAGCGGUGGAUUAUGUGGUUUAAUUCGAUGAUACGCGAGGAACCUUACCAAGGCUUAAAUGGGAAAUGACAGGUUUAGAAAUAGACUUUUCUUCGGACAUUUUUCAAGGUGCUGCAUGGUUGUCGUCAGCUCGUGCCGUGAGGUGUUAGGUUAAGUCCUGCAACGAGCGCAACCCCUGUCACUAGUUGCCAUCAUUAAGUUGGGGACUCUAGUGAGACUGCCUACGCAAGUAGAGAGGAAGGUGGGGAUGACGUCAAAUCAUCACGGCCCUUACGCCUUGGGCCACACACGUAAUACAAUGGCCGGUACAGAGGGCAGCUACACAGCGAUGUGAUGCAAAUCUCGAAAGCCGGUCUCAGUUCGGAUUGGAGUCUGCAACUCGA